UGGAUCAAUGAUCUCCACUAUUGAGAGAUAUAGUGGAGAGAAUCCUUACUGGUUGCUCAUAGCCGCACAUGUGUCUAGCCUCUAUGAAAAAUUUACUCGAAGUUUCGAUCUGAUCGAUCUUCUCGGGAGUACUUGCUCGCGUGAAGACCUUAUUCUUGGCUGAUUUGGAUCUUUUAUUCAAAUCUUUAAAACCUUUUCAAAGAUUGAAGAUAGACUUCUAAAGGAUAUGAAGAGGUAAAAAAAAGAUGGAGAAGAAAAUAAUUUUUUCUAAUUUAUUUUCUCUUCCCAAACCCUUAGAAUCAAAAAUAUGAAAUUUAGGUUUUUGUGCACACCCCAA
RNAcentral lists this long non-coding RNA (337 nucleotides) under Elaeis guineensis (African oil palm). RNAcentral describes it as "long non-coding RNA (EGUI_LNC072116)". The record is from RNAcentral. Lineage: Eukaryota; Viridiplantae; Streptophyta; Magnoliopsida; Arecales; Arecaceae.